Molecule: long non-coding RNA, 810 nt
Organism: Anneissia japonica
Lineage: Eukaryota; Metazoa; Echinodermata; Crinoidea; Comatulida; Comatulidae
Exons: 3
Source: RefSeq, a predicted model, not a curated record
AUAAUAUCCAAAUUACGGUGGGAGCAAGCGUGUAUGUGAACUACCGGAGCUGUUUCGUAGACACGUCGUCGCAAAAACAUCGUGUGAAAUAUUGAAUUUUGGAAUGGCGUUUCUUCAAACUCUUUGUUGACAUCUUUGCAUAAUUCACUGGACCAUGGCCUCAUCACAAUGAUGUAAUGAUAAUGAAUAUUCAUAGUCAGACACUUAAAACUACAAAAGUCAGGAAACUGCUGAAAUGACACCACAGCAAAAGCAACUUCUUGAUAGCAUAUAUAUCUUUCAGCGGGGUUGGAGGUAGCACAUGGAUGUCACCUCAGCGAAUCUCAUUUGUGCGACAUCCUACCGCUUGGAAUGGCUGACCGUCCAGAUUUGGACCAGCAUUUUGAAUAGAAAUUCUGAAGAAACUUGGACAUUGUGUCUCCUUUGCAACAAGUCAACCUGCCCUGCUAGCCAGUAUUACUGUGUUGCUUCCUCUACUGAAUGGUGAGUGUGAUGGCAAAAGUUUGUGAAUGCUUAAUAUUAUGAAUUUCAUGUCCAUUGUAAAUUGCAUGUCCAUUGCAAAUUGCUUUGUGGGAUAAAUAUGUACCCAAGAAACUUUGUUUUACAUAUGAGUUUAAUAGUCUAUAAAACUGUAGUAAUAAUAGUAAUUGUUUUCCCCUGUAAGCAUUGCAAUUAUUUUGGUUGUCAGUAUUACAGUACAACUUACAUUUCCCUAUUUCAUAAUUAAAUUUUAAUAAAUAACUUUAAAAUUAAUAAAUUUUUGUUUAUGAAAUACAAUUUAACUAUAAUAAUAACAAUAUAGCAAUGCUU